CCGAGUUUACAACUCCCAAGCCCAUGUGAACAUACCUACUGUUGCUUCGGCGGGAUUGCCCCGGGCGCCUCGUGUGCCCCGGAUCAGGCGCCCGCCUAGGAAACUUAACUCUUGUUUUAUUUUGGAAUCUUCUGAGUAGUUUUUACAAAUAAAUAA
This 156-nucleotide unclassified non-coding RNA is filed under the name soil metagenome. Its description in RNAcentral is "partial internal transcribed spacer 1". The record is from RNAcentral.